AGUGAACGCUGGCGGUAGGCCUAACACAUGCAAGUCGAACGGCAGCACAGUAAGAGCUUGCUCUUACGGGUGGCGAGUGGCGGACGGGUGAGGAAUACAUCGGAAUCUACUUUUUCGUGGGGGAUAACGUAGGGAAACUUACGCUAUUACCGCAUACGACCUACGGGUGAAAGCAGGGGAUCUUCGGACCUUGCGCGAUUGAAUGAGCCGAUGUCGGAUUAGCUAGUUGGCGGGGUAAAGGCCCACCAAGGCGACGAUCCGUAGCUGGUCUGAGAGGAUGAUCAGCCACACUGGAACUGAGAUACGGUCCAGACUCCUACGGGAGGCAGCAGUGGGGAAUAUUGGACAAUGGGCGCAAGCCUGAUCCAGCCAUACCGCGUGGGUGAAGAAGGCCUUCGGGUUGUAAAGCCCUUUUGUUGGGAAAGAAAAGCAGCAGGUUAAUACCCCGCUGUUCUGACGGUACCCAAAGAAUAAGCACCGGCUAACUUCGUG
This 492-nucleotide ribosomal RNA is filed under the name uncultured bacterium. Its description in RNAcentral is "partial 16S ribosomal RNA". It matches the Rfam family "Bacterial small subunit ribosomal RNA", at positions 29 to 507 of the family's 1533-position model. The record is from RNAcentral.